CUCUGCAUUUAUUGAUUUCAGAGGUCAGAGAAUAAAACAUGAUUCUCAUAAGGAGUAUGCUGCCUACAACUCUGCAUUGAUGAAAACUAUUAAGGGUGCAACAACUGGUUUAAUUUCUGGCACCAUCUGGGUACUGUUGUUGCCACCUGGAAUCAUGUUCCUCGUGUUGAGAGAAACGUUGCUCUUCCAUGCCUCAUAAGAACUUUCAAGAUGAUGGGCAACUAUGCAUUGACCUUUGUUGCCAUAGGAGGAGUCUACAUUGGUGUUAAGCAGUUGGUGCAGAACGCUAGGAUGAAGAGGGAUCUUGUCAACGGUGAUGUAGGUGUGCAACUGUUCUGGGUUACAAAGGUAGCCUUUUGCUCCAAACUAUUUUAUCUCUGUUAGGCCAUAAUUUGCAUAUGUUAAAUCUAUAUCUUGAAAUCUCACUUAUGGAAAUAAAUUUUAUGAAAAUAAAUUUUUUAUUUUUAAUUUGAAGAAAACACCGCGUGGUAACCGUUGAACUAGAAAUUUCGCUAAUUUACGCUUUUGGGUUUGGUCAUUGGUGGGUCGGCCACGAGCUUUGUGUGUGCGUUCAGGUUUCAUAAAAUUCAUGCUUGCUCUAACAUCUUUCCAACACACUAACUCACCUUCAUCUUUCCAACACACUAACUCACCUUCUGGGUUUGGUCAUUGGUGGGUCGGCCACGAGCUUUGUGUGUGCGUUCAGGUUUCCUAUAAAAUUCAUGCUUGCUCUAACAUCUUUCCAACACACUAACUCACCUUCGUCUUUCCAACACACUAACUCACCUUCUAACAUCGCCACUGUUAAUGAAAAUGAUGAUUUUAGCUUUCUUCUUCUUCCUCAUGGUUUUAUCAUCAACGUCAUCACCCCUUCCUCCACCACCACCGUCACUAAGUGAUGGCUUGUCCCUCGAGCUCAUCCCACCCCAUUCUCCAAAAUCUCCAUUUUAUCAUUCUAACCUUGUAAAUCCCUUAGUUUCCCCAUAUAAACAAGGCGUGGUAGUAAAGAUUGGUAUUGGUACCAUCGACAUCGAGGAUGAUGUGGCUUACAAAUCUUAUCUGUUAGUAUUCGACACUGGAUCCGACUUAAUAUGGAUUCAGUGUGAGGAAUGCAAGAUUCAAGAUGAAAACCAUAGGUGCUAUCCUCAGAAAGAAGAACCGUUUCCGGAUAGCAAGUCAAGAACCUACCAACCUCUGCCUUCAAGUUACCCCCUCUGCAAAUACGGUCGCUCCGACGAAAAAGGCCGCUGCAUAUACACGGUGAAGUACAAAACUGGAUCCAUCAACAGCACAGGCGUGCUUUCCAGUGAGACCUUCAGAUUCCUCUCUACUUCGUCACCAAGUGGUACGGAGAAGGUGAGAGAGAUUGUCUUCGGGUGCGGUUAUAAGAACUAUGACGAUGACCGUAAUGAUGGUGAUGCUUAUCAGAUAGCAGGGAUUUUUGGCAUGAGCCCUGGUCCCCUUUCUUUUCUAAGCCAAUAUAAAGGAAAGAAAUUUUCAUACUGCAUGGUUCCACGCCAUGUGAAAAACCCUCCUCCAACCUACCUGAGGUUUGCCUCAGAAGUGAAGCCGUUAACAAGGUUCCAGACGGUGGAUCUUCUUAUGACUAAGGCAACUAAAAGUUUAUUUAUUCUGCAACUGGAAGAUCUUGGAGUAAACGGCAAGAGGCUUCGGAUUGAUCGGAGGAGGCUUGGAAAUCAGCAGUUAGUUGUUGACUCUGGCUCCACUAAUUCACUUAUGCUGAACGGUGCCCAUGAAAAACUUGUGAGUAAAUUAGAUAGCAUUCUAAUUACCGCAACUGGGGACUUUAAAAAGGAUGUCGUAACCUUUGAAGACCAAAUUUGUUAUAAGAGGAUGAGGAAGCCACAAGGAUUUACUGCCAACAUACCAAGUGUCAAUUACUACUUCAAAGGAGGUGCUCAUCUCGAUUUACCUCCUCAAAAUGUUUUUGUACAGAAACUAAAACGGAACACAGAAUGGUUCUGUUUCAACAUUUUCCCAGACCAGCAAAUGAAUCUCUUGGGUGCCUACCAACAAGCUGACUUUAAGUUCAUUUUUGAUAUCAAGAAAAAUAAGCUGCAGUUUGGUCCAGAGAAUUGUGCUCAAAACAGUUAACUAAAUCAAAUAAGCUGACUUUAUGUAUAUGCUCCAGCUUUACCACUAAUUGAUAAAUAAAUCCAAUCUUAUAUAUAUAUAUAUGUGACAGCAUUAUUGCAUUGCAUUAUUUAUACCGUAGAUUUUGUUGUGCGUAGCUAUCUGGAUUUUCAUUUCUGGUAAUUUGAUUUUGCUUUAGUUGUGAAAUGUAUUUACUGCUUGUGAAUUGUGAUGUUGGAUGAGGUAAUUGAGCAAUGAAUUUUUUUUCACCAAUACUGAAUUGAUUACACUCAUUGAAAACUAUUAAGGGUGCAACAACUGGUUUAAUUUCUGGCACCAUCUGGGUACUGUUGUUGCCACCUGGAAUCAUGUUCCUUGUGUUGAGAGAAACCUUGCUCUUCCAGGCCUCAUAAGAACUUUCAAGAUGAUGGGCAACUAUGCAUUGACCUUUGUUGCCAUAGGAGGAGUCUACAUUGGUGUUAAGCAGUUGGUGCAGAACGCUAGGAUGAAGAGGGAUCUUGUCAAUGGUGCUGUAGGUGUGCAACUGUUCUGGGUUACAAAG
Molecule: long non-coding RNA, 2656 nt
Filed under: Arachis ipaensis
Lineage: Eukaryota; Viridiplantae; Streptophyta; Magnoliopsida; Fabales; Fabaceae
Description: long non-coding RNA (AIPA_LNC001011)
Source: RNAcentral